UGGGGAAUAUUGCACAAUGGGCGCAAGCCUGAUGCAGCCAUGCCGCGUGUAUGAAGAAGGCCUUCGGGUUGUAAAGUACUUUCAGCGGGGAGGAAGGGGUUAAGGUUAAUAACCUUAGCCAUUGACGUUACCCGCAGAAGAAGCACCGGCUAACUCCGUGCCAGCAGCCGCGGUAAUACGGAGGGUGCAAGCGUUAAUCGGAAUUACUGGGCGUAAAGCGCACGCAGGCGGUCUGUCAAGUCGGAUGUGAAAUCCCCGGGCUCAACCUGGGAACUGCAUUCGAAACUGGCAGGCUUGAGUCUCGUAGAGGGGGGUAGAAUUCCAGGUGUAGCGGUGAAAUGCGUAGAGAUCUGGAGGAAUACCGGUGGCGAAGGCGGCCCCCUGGACGAAGACUGACGCUCAGGUGCGAAAGCGUGGGGAGCAAACAGG
Molecule: ribosomal RNA, 429 nt
Filed under: uncultured Citrobacter sp.
Lineage: Bacteria; Pseudomonadati; Pseudomonadota; Gammaproteobacteria; Enterobacterales; Enterobacteriaceae
Description: bacterial SSU rRNA
Rfam family: Bacterial small subunit ribosomal RNA
Source: RNAcentral